GGAGGGGUUCCCGAGUGGCCAAAGGGAACAGACUGUAAAUCUGUCGUCGGAAGACUUCGGAGGUUCAAAUCCUCCCCCCUCCA
RNAcentral lists this transfer RNA (83 nucleotides) under Oleidesulfovibrio alaskensis G20. RNAcentral's name for it is "Desulfovibrio alaskensis G20 tRNA". It matches the Rfam family "tRNA". Rfam says of the family: Transfer RNA (tRNA) molecules are approximately 80 nucleotides in length. Their secondary structure includes four short double-helical elements and three loops (D, anti-codon, and T loops). Lineage: Bacteria; Pseudomonadati; Thermodesulfobacteriota; Desulfovibrionia; Desulfovibrionales; Desulfovibrionaceae. The record is from Rfam by way of RNAcentral.